Molecule: RNase P RNA, 385 nt
Filed under: Streptococcus gallolyticus subsp. gallolyticus
Lineage: Bacteria; Bacillati; Bacillota; Bacilli; Lactobacillales; Streptococcaceae
Description: bacterial RNase P
Rfam family: Bacterial RNase P class B
About the family: Ribonuclease P (RNase P) is a ubiquitous endoribonuclease, found in archaea, bacteria and eukarya as well as chloroplasts and mitochondria.
Source: RNAcentral
UGCAAUUUUUGGAUAAUCGCGUGGUAUUUUAAUACCAUGAGGAAAGUCCAUGCUAGCACUGGCUGUGAUGCCGGUAGUGUUUGUGCUAGGUGAAUCAAUAAGCCUAGGGACAUCUUUUGGAUGUUACGGCGGGCAAAAAGGCUAAGUUCUUUAUGGAUAUGUCUGAAUAGCCCUGAAAGUGCCACAGUGACGUAGUUCUUAGGGAAACCUAAGAAGUGGAACGCGGUAAACCCCUCAAGCUAGCAACCCAAACUUUGGUAGGGGCAUGGGAUAGUUGGAAUCCGAACGAUCUAUCCUGACUGGAAACAGUAGACAGAUGAUUAUCGAAGGAGAUAAGACCUAGUUAUCUCUGGAACAAAACAUGGCUUAUAGAAAAUUGCAUAUA